CUAGUUUGUUUUGAUUUGACUGCAGUUUGUUGGUAAUGUAAUUGAAAAAGGUUGUGUACGCAAUAUUUUCCUUUUAAACGUUUGUUGAACAUUUAUUCUGAUUAAUAGAUAUGCUGUUUGCCGUAGUCGAAACGAGUCGUUGGUGACAUAGAAAACUCUCAGUGGUGUCCGAGAAAUGGAUUCGGACCUCCAGAACCGGCAACAUCAUGCUGUGGCCGAACGUAAAAAACACCCAAUAUUUUGACAAAAUGCUAAGGGAUAAAAACAUCACAAGCAAACAAGUGUCUAACGGAAAUUCACAGCUUACAUCCGGUUUAUUUUGUCUGUUAAUCCGAAUUCAUAAUUGAUUUCCUGUAAGAUAACAAAAGAAAGUGUUUAGGUAGAGAAAGCCUUUAAACACCCUAAUAUUACCUAUUGGAAUUAUAGCUUUGUUUUCCUUUUGCCGUUUAUUUAGAAAAAAAAAUCCGAUGAUGAUAGAAUAAA
Long non-coding RNA from Wyeomyia smithii (pitcher-plant mosquito), 483 nucleotides. RefSeq lists it as uncharacterized. NCBI's taxonomy places the organism in Eukaryota, Metazoa, Arthropoda, Insecta, Diptera, Culicidae. The transcript is spliced from 2 exons. The record is from RefSeq and is a predicted model, not a curated record.